Molecule: non-coding RNA, 2710 nt
Organism: Anas platyrhynchos (mallard)
Lineage: Eukaryota; Metazoa; Chordata; Aves; Anseriformes; Anatidae
Source: RefSeq, a predicted model, not a curated record
AAUGCGAGGGGAUUUCACAACGCCGUGGAAUCAAGGGCAUCCUCGCACCAUCUACGUGCUUGCUCCCUUUCUAAUUUUGGCCCUGUCAUCUCUGUUCCUUCCACGGUGGGAACACGCGCUCCCUUCCCCGCAGCGUUUCUGAGCUGGGUCAGGCUGGUAUGAGCACAGGGAGGCGAGGAGUCCGGGUACCUUUUUGGAUGAGAUGUGUGUCUACCUUCUCCGCUCACACCUCUGUGGCUGUAGUCACCUCCCUGAACCAUCUUACGGUGGGCACAGGCUCCAGCUGUCAAUUUUUUGCACAGUGUGCUCAUACCUGCCUGGCAGCAUCGCCUCUGGAGCAGGUCUCAGGACCCUCAGAAACAGAGCAGAGAGCUGAAGCUAGGGAGAGGCUAGCACAGAGUGCCACCAGGCCUCCUGGCCAUGGGCAAGCAGGGUUCGCUGUCCCUUGGUCACCAUCAGCCGGCAGCAGGAGCCCAGCCCAUCCUUGCUGGGGGCUGGAUGUCCUCACAGGCAGCUGGGAGACCCCUGCCCUGAACCUGUGUGGCUGGAGGUGGUGGGGCAGCAGCACGGCACAGCUGUGGAGAGCAACCUCUCGUUAUCUCAACAGCAUCACCUGGCAGGGCAUCCCCUUCACAGAGAGCAGCGGGUGGAGGUGGCAGGACACCAGCAGCCCCUCGACCGGUUUGGUAGAGGCUCCUCAGCCUUCUCCUGUUGCUGCCCCGGUGCCUGCGAGCUCCAGACAGAAAGGCAGACAGGGAAUUUGCUCCAGGCGCUUGCAGAUGCAAGCUCUGCUGCACUGGGCUUGCUGGGGAUGACACUCACCGUGCCCUGCUAAAGAUGGGAUUGGAGUCAGUUGCAGAAACCUGGGAGAUUCCCUCCCUUGGGCUAGACUGUGCAAACUCGCCCCGAAGAAACCAUUGUUUCUUGAAAGCCUCUGUAAGCUCCCUGUCCCCAGCUCCCCAGCCCAGCUCAGCAUUUUGGGCGAGUUAUGAAACAGGGCAGAUGCUGGAGCACAGCAUUUGUAUUAUCCGCCAGCAAAUGACUGGAUGUGAUAAACACUUGGCUCUCCCGUGCAGGGACAGGGUGAGGGCUGUUCCUUGCCGCGGGGGAAAUGACAUUACAGGUUUGCAAGAGCUGGGCACUUUGUUGUGCAGAAGCCAUCUGACGCUGACAGCCUGUCAUUGAUUUGCGAAAACAUCGUUUGGCAUCGAUAACAAGCGUUCAGGAGAAACAAGUAGGACACAGAAAAGCAACACCCAGGUAUUGCUUCGCUGUUCCCUAUCCAGACUGGAAGCGCACAGACGUGUCUCCACUCUGAAAACAAGCACAGGAGAAGCAGAAAAUCCUCCUCCGUGUUCCUGGACAUUGGCAGAGGUCUUGGGCAGCGCUCACCCAGGCUGGCCUCCCCUGGGCAUGCCCUAAAUGUCUGAGUUGUUUGGGUGAUGGAGCAGAGCGAAGCUGCUGCAUCGCUUGGGUGAGACAUUGGGAACCUUGGGGAGGGGAAGCCGAGGGUAAUUAGGCUCUAGUUGCUCUAGGUCUGAGUCUCAUUAACAGAGUUUGGGUUUCUGCUGCUGGGGUUCACUGGAGAAGCACCCUGGAGCAGCAGCAGGUGUACAAAGCUCACCCUACCCAGGAACACGCCCCGUGCUUUCUGAUAUUGCUCUUGUUCCCAUGAAAACCAACGUGCGGCAUUGCUGCGGCCACCUGCGUGUUCACAAACGCCAGGGAAACACAAAACCUGAUGAAUGGGAAUGAAAUAAAGUGCGUUCGGUGUCCUCCUGCUGCUUUCGAGGAGGGACCCAGCAUCUGUGAGCUGCCAGCACCGGGUCUAAGCUCAGCUAGACCCCAGGCACUGGUCCCUUGAGGGAUGGAGGAACCCUCCCAAGUCCUCUCUGCUGCGGGGAGUUUUUGGGAGUUUUGUCCAGCAGUGCAGAGGAACGUGGUCCUCCAGCCGUGUGUCCUUGUCCCAUGCCCAGGACCUGGUGACAAGGGAUCCCAGGGAUCCUCUGUCCAGGGCGCCCUCCCCUUGGCCUCCCUCCUGAAGGGGUUUGUGCCUCUCCUCCUCUAUCAGCCUCUAGUGGCUCGGCAGGAGCUUUGCCAGCACUUGCUGUGAAACUGAGUCUCCCAGCACCAGGGGGUCUGGUUCUCUGCAAAGGACCCUCUGCAGCCUGGCUUGGCAGAGAGAAACCUCUCCUUCAGAGUCACAACCCAGCGUGUGAUUUCUCACAUAGCCAGGUUCUCUUGCAGUCUUCUUGCUAAAAGUCCUCGCUUCUGCCCCCGCUGCCCCAAGCCACUUGCAGAGAUUGCCCCAAAGCUUUGCCGGGUGCCUGUCCUGAUUUAUACUCGGAUUUUAUACUGCUGCUGCCAAAGGGUCCACGACCUGUGCAGGCAGAGGAAGUUUUUGCACAGGGAGAGUUGGACAGAGGGAGAUGGGAGCAUCUCCACGGGGCCAGGGUGGUGGCUGGACCCCUAGGGACCGGGCAUGGUGGGCAGCGUUGUGCCACUGACCCAUGGUGUGUGCAACGCUGCCUCUUGCUAACAGGGCUGUCCCCAGGCUCUUGGCACUGGGACACCAUUUCGAUCCAUCUUAAACCAAGAGAAAUAACACAAAACAAGUUGAGCGGGCUGCACGGGAGCUCCUCCAGCCUAUGAGCACCGUUUCCUAGCGAGACGCACAGCCCCAUAUCCAUGGCCCCGUUGCGAGGGGGCG